GAUGAACGCUGGCGGCGUGCCUAAUACAUGCAAGUCGAACGCUUUGUGGUUCAACUGAUUUGAAGAGCUUGCUCAGAUAUGACGAUGGACAUUGCAAAGAGUGGCGAACGGGUGAGUAACACGUGGGAAACCUACCUCUUAGCAGGGGAUAACAUUUGGAAACAGAUGCUAAUACCGUAUAACAAUGACAACCGCAUGGUUGUUAUUUAAAAGAUGGUUCUGCUAUCACUAAGAGAUGGUCCCGCGUUGCAUUAGCUAGUUGGUAAGGUAAUGGCUUACCAAGGCGAUGAUGCAUAGCCGAGUUGAGAGACUGAUCGGCCACAAUGGGACUGAGACACGGCCCAUACUCCUACGGGAGGCAGCAGUAGGGAAUCUUCCACAAUGGGCGAAAGCCUGAUGGAGCAACGCCGCGUGUGUGAUGAAGGGUUUCGGCUCGUAAAACACUGUUGUAAGAGAAGAAUGACAUUGAGAGUAACUGUUCAAUGUGUGACGGUAUCUUACCAGAAAGGAACGGCUAAAUACGUGCCAGCAGCCGCCUAGA
RNAcentral lists this ribosomal RNA (541 nucleotides) under uncultured bacterium. RNAcentral's name for it is "partial 16S ribosomal RNA". It matches the Rfam family "Bacterial small subunit ribosomal RNA", at positions 28 to 523 of the family's 1533-position model. The record is from RNAcentral.